AAACCUUUGACCAAAAAAUUGUUUGAAAAAAAUAAAGAAAAAACUUUUUGAUCUGAUAGCAUGUAACUGCAAGCUUGAAGUUUUUCCUUGUGAUGACAGGAAUAUCAAAUGCUCAGGUUGUUCAAAUGUGCAUCUUUACUGUAGUUGUGUUGGUAGUACAAAAGUUCCUUUGGAAGAGCGCUCCUAUUUAAAAGACCAAAGGGAGAAAAUUGGUACUAAAGAAAAGUUUCAAAUAGGAGGUAUUGAUAACUCUAUUUUAUCACCUACCUCAAGAAAAACAAUGCAAACAAAAGCUUCUGAUGAAGAAAUUUAUAUUAAAGAGUUUGACACAAUCAUGGAUUCAGAUCAGUGUGAAACUUCAAUUUCAUCAUUAAAUCAGACUAGAUCAAAGUACUAUAACACUACCCACUAUCUCAAAUUUGCUUUAGAG
Molecule: non-coding RNA, 430 nt
Organism: Hydra vulgaris (swiftwater hydra)
Lineage: Eukaryota; Metazoa; Cnidaria; Hydrozoa; Anthoathecata; Hydridae
Source: RefSeq, a predicted model, not a curated record